Long non-coding RNA from Equus caballus (horse), 13918 nucleotides. The record is from Ensembl. NCBI's taxonomy places the organism in Eukaryota, Metazoa, Chordata, Mammalia, Perissodactyla, Equidae.
CGGAGGGAAGGGAACCUAGCGUGUCGAGUGCUUACUCUGUGUGGCAUUGUGCUAGGUGUUGUUUAAAAUUAGCACAUUGAAUCUCAACAAGGUGUGAGACACAUAGCCUGAUUUCUCAUUUUAUGGUGGAAGAAACUGAGGUUCAGCCAUCUAUUUAUUUCCUUGACUCACACAGCUGGAAUUCUGAACAAAAACUCAAACCUACAUCCAGCAUGAAGGUCUCACUCGCCGUCCAGAAGGUAGGAGCAGAAUAGGGGUGGAUGGCUUUGCUUUCUCUCUGUCUAUUAAUAUUAACGAGGGCACCUUUUACAGUGAAAAACCAUAAAGAAAGCUCAUUAAGGGCAGCGACACCCCCAGCACACAACUCUCCCUAGAACCACAAAAUGGGCCUGUUACAGAGGCCUGGGAGCUAAUUCUCUCCAGAUGUUUGCAAAGCGAGCAGGACCAGAAGGUGGGAGCCGAAAUUACUGAACACUCCAUAAGGCGCUGAUGGAGCAGGGCCCCAGGCUUGGCUCAGCAACAAGUGAACACAGAGACCCUGUUUGUUCAGAGGAACUUCAAAGCCCCCAUAAACUCCCAGGAAAGGUGAGAGACAACAACGCCACAGAGCCCAGCGUUCCUGCAAAGUCAGACUGGAGAUGAACUUGAGACGCUGCCCCUGGAGCUUAAGAAGAUGACAGAGGGGCAGGUCUGGUGAGCAGAUGUCUGCCUUUUGUUUAUGCCCAUUCUUAUACACAGUAAGUGCAUGCUGCAUGGGCACAUGUCUCUAGCCAGGCCAAAGAGGACACACCAAUUUACAGUCGUGCAUCACAAUGCUGCGGACACAUUCCGAGAAAGACGUCGUCAGGCGAUUUUGUCGUUGUGCAAACAUCACAGAGUGCACUUACGCAAACCAAGAUGGUACAGCCCACUAUGCACCUAGGCUGUAUGGUACUAACCUCACGGGACCCCUGUCGUAUAGGUGGUCCGUUGUUGACCGAAAUGUCAUUACACAGCACAUGACUGUAAAUACCGAGUUAGAAAAAUAGAAAGAGAAAAUGCCCUUUCUGUGCUAAGUAUUACUCUACACCAAAACCAUAAAAUUACUAAUGAGACAUAGCAGGUCCAAAUAAAGUUGUGCAUGUUUAUCUUCAUUUUUCUCUUCCUUCCCUCCCUUUAAAAGUGCGACAAACAGCAUGGAGUUACUGCUAAAAUUAUAACUAAAGAGGAGGAAGAAAGACUAAUUAAUCAAGUGUGGUAUCAGUCGAAAGUUCGAUAUGUUAUCUCUUUGGUCACCAGACUCCUGGCAGGAGAAAGGCUUCCAGGAUCCAGUGUGGGUGUUUUUUCCAUUGCUAAUCACCGUGACCUGCCAGACCACAGCUGCAAGGUUAAAAGAACCCUCACCUUCGCAGAUGCCAGGUAUCCCCCUGCAGAGGCUGUUGAAAGGCAGGCCAAGAUAGUCUUGCAACACCCACCACCCCAGUCAACCCACGUCAGAAAAGAAAUGCAGAGGCAACAGGAGGCAGGCACUGCUCAAGAGGCUGGAGAUGGAGCGGUGUAGCACAGGUCUGCAGGAAUUCGCUGGCUCUUCAGAGCAGGGCCCUAACCGUGGCUUCGGUAGUGCUGGCUGCUGGUUCCAAGCUAACAGAACAGCCACUCUUGGACCAUUGCUGUGGCAGAAGGAGAGAAAGAGCAUGAAGGAUCAUACACCAGCCCUUAAAGCUUCCAUGCCAAAGCAGCAUACUUCACCUCGACUCACAGUUCAUCAGCCAAAGCAAGUCACUGGGCUUCCCUGAUUCCAACGUAGCAAGGAAAUACAACCCUACCAUGUGCCCAGAAGAAGAACCAGAAAUACAGACGAACAGUCCUGGAACAGCAGCAGCGACUCAGUCAUCAUCUGAGACCUUCCCAGCCACGCUGUGAAAAAGAGCCAGCCUCCCCACCACCUCCCGCUUCCUAUCCCACUUACUGGCUUCAUUUCUCUCUUCAGGACCUUUCACUAUCUGCACACUCUAUACGUCGCUUGUUUAUCUUGUUUACGUCAUUCUCCAUUAGAAUGUAGACUCGAAGGGCAAAGAGAUUUUCCCUGUUUGAUUCAGUACUGUGUUCCCAGUGCCUAGAAUUGUCACUGCUACAUAGAGGCUUUAGACAAAAAUGUGCUGAACAGACGAGCGAAUGACAAGAAGGAUACAAUUAGUGAUCCACGUGAGAAAUACGAUGAUCUUGGGAUUUGGCUUAACCAGGUUUGGUACCACCCGAUUCCUCGACAAAUUUGAGUAUGCAUCUACUGUAUGCAAGGCUGUAUGCAUCAAGGAGAACAUCCCCAUCCUUGAACAUACCAGAUACAGGGGGAGUUAGCACCUUUCUUACUUUACACCGUUUCUGCCAAUGGAGGGCAAGGAGCUUCUUGACUUUUGUGGAAACAAGAGUAACAAUCGUCUUGUUUUCAGCUAAGAUCUGGCUGCAAUCAAGCUUUCUUGUCCAGAAAUACUAGCAAGUCUCAUAGGUGACAAGCACGCUGCCUAAUUUCUCCUGCCUGCUCCAUUUGCAUUUCAUCACAUGUGCAGACCCUCCGUAAACAAAACUCGCAGCAUCUUAUUCUGAAAAGUUGUCAUCAGCCUCUGUGCAUCAUGGUCUUCCUAAAUGAAACAAAUAAGGCAUUUCUCAUUUGUAAUUAAAUAAUUCCUUAGAAGGCUCUGCCUUCUACCAAAGAUUCACGGGGAAUCCAUUUUCACACAGCGAUAAUUAUACUCAGCACUGAGGGUAGACACUGUGGUGUGGGCUGUGGAUAUUUAUCAGCUCAUCAGAAGCAAAUCAUAAAGGAACUUAGUACGGAAGCUAAAAACAGAUCUUAGUUAGUAGGAAACGAAGUUAAGAUGUUAAUGCUGAAUCCCAGGCUAGAUUGCUUCCCCACUUAGGGAUAUUAUUGCUGAGUCAAUUAUUUCCACCAAGAUUUUUUUUUUGCAAGGACCACAUCCAGUUGUGUAAAAUAUUUGAGGGAGCAGUAAGUACAUUUGCGUAUGAUAUGCACAUCAUUUGUAUAGGAUCACAUACCAUCUUCAGGAAAAUUCUAAGUGAAAAUGAAACUAGUUAUAUUUUCUCUUAUUAUGCAUUCCUUAGCGUCUGUGCCCCAGUCUUCCAGGUUCCCCACUGCCUACAGGAGAAAAUGCAGUGUCCUCUGCCUGGUGCCCAGUCCACCUGUCCUACCAUCCCUUUCCUGUUCCCUACGUCCUCUUAUGCACCAGUCACACACAAUCACACACUGUUUUCCACCACGCUGUGAGAGGUCACUCAGUUGACUGUCCACGAGCCACUUUCUCACUUUCUUCUUUGCUAGCCGAACCAUAACCGUCUCCCUUCUGGCGUUUGUGCUCUGUAUGCUCAGGGGCCUCACCGAGCUCCAGGGCGUGGGCUUUGACUCGUCCACAGCCAGCCUGGCGGAUCCACGCCCCUGGGAAGUGACUGGUUUCGGCACGGUCAUGUGCUGCAGUCCUGGCCAAUGAGAAGUAAAGGGAAGCUGUUAGGAGAUUUCUUGGAAAGUUUCCUGAGUCUUAAAAGAGGACACAGAAAAGACAGAGACUCACCUCUUUUCUGCUUCUGGACGGGGCUACGGAAGGAGGCGAUGCCUGGGAGAGCUUCAACAAUAUGACCAUGAGAGUGGAGGGUGCUCAUGAGACAGCAGAGCAGAAAGAUGGAAGGAACCUGGGAUGUGGAAGAGGUCAUCGUGUCCCGGCUUAAGCAAUCAUAAGAACAACUUUACGACUUCAGUGCCAGGCACUGUCAUGAGCGUUUUAUGUACAUUAACUUAUUCGGUCCUCACAACUGUCAUAUGCAGUGGAUGUUCUUGUUAUUUCCAUUUUACGGUUGAGCAAACUGAAGCAGAGAGGGUUGAAGUGUCAAAGUCACUCUCCUUCUUUGUUUUUUCAGCGUUUUAUUAUAGAAAACUUAAAGGAUAUACUAAAGUAGAGAGUAGCAUAAUGAAUCCCACGCACACAUCAGUCACCCAGUUUAAAUAAUUAUCCAGGGGCCAGCAGGGUGGCCCAGGCAAUGAGUUUGUGUGCUCCAUUUCUGUGGCCCAGUGUUUCACCGGUUCGAAUCCUGGGCGUGGACCUAGCACCGCUCAUCAGGCCAUGCUGAGGCGGCAUCCCACAUGCCACAACUAGAAGGACCCACAACUAAAAGAUACAACUAUGUACUGGGGGGUUUGGGGGAGAAGGAAAAAUUAAAAAUUAAAAAACCUUUAAAAAAAAUUACCCAUCAGGGCCAGUCUCGACUCACUCAUGCCCCUGCCCCUUCUUCCUCUGCCCCAGGUUAUUUUGAAGCAAAUCCCAGACCUCACAUUGUUUCAUUCUGGAUCACUCCAUGCGUGACAAAAACCGAAAACUACUUUUAUCUGGGUCUUCUGUUACAACUAAAACGAGUCUCUAAAUAUUAAUAACUUUCUCCUCAUAAAAAUCUGAAAAUGUAUAUAAGCUGAAGGCAAAAUAUAAAAAUCACCCACCAUGUGACCACCUGGCAAUAACGGCUAAUAAUAACUUGGUGUUCUUCCUCUAAGUAUUUUGCAGACUUUUGUUUUGAAUACGAGAUUGCUUUUUUCCACUUAUUUUGGCCUGAAUGUUUCCCAUCCUCGUUCCAGUCCCAUGGUCUCUGGGUGCUGGGCCCCCUCUGUCCUUUUUUCUUCCAGGAACCUGACCAAGUGCUUGCUGACCUCCACCAUUGGACGUCAGUGACAUGCGGCAACUGUCUGUUCAUCCAUGUUUCUGACCGGACCAGCGCACAAUGAGGGCAGGGACUCUUUCUGAGUUGGCUUUUUUUUUUAAUCUCUGGUGUCUAUAUUGUUAUAAGAAACAACCUGACAAGACUCAAUAUUGCUGGGAUGGUGUUGACCACGGGGUGGCCUGCAUCAUGCGUGUCCCCUUUGCAAGAAUCCAGCGAGGAAACUUUCCUCUCAAAAGCUGUGUUGCUCCUGAAAAACAGGUGUGUUCUUUAGUGGACACUGCGAACGCUUGUUGUAUCAGUGUGUGUGUCCAUUUUCGCUUUGGUCACUGGAGAGCUCAGAGCCGAAGUCGUGCUUCUAACUCUGGGAAGGAUUUUCAAUUUUCAAGGCAUGAACUCUCCCACUAGUCUCACUUCGUUUUCCCUUCACCAUGAAUUCUUUAUAUUUGGAAUAAUGAUGUGGCAUCGUGACAGGACCACUUUCGACAUGUUAAUUCAUGAGCUUUCUUCUCUUUUUCCUUCCAUGAACGUAGCUUGCAGGUUCUGUGCCUUUUUGCUUCCAGGUGGUAACAUUAUGGUUGACUUCCCUUUCUGGAUUUGUUUAGAAAAGUCUGAAGUCUUUAAGGAGGUUGACCCAUGUGUCCUGCAUGAAGAGAAAGCGCUUCUGAGGAAAUGUGGAAAGGGGGGCGUUUCUCCCAGAUUGACUCAGAGAUUCCCAGUCUCCUUGGUUCUCUGGGUUUAGAGAGCAGACGGAAGCAGGACCCCAGGUGGGAGCAGUGGCCAACCUGCGUGCCCAGCAGUAACAGGCUUGGGUUAGAAUUGUUUGAUUUAUAGCAAACGAAGAAAUAGAAUAUUUCCUGCAUGACUGAAUUUGUGGACUGGGAUUCAUAAUCAGUGCAGAACCUAAUGAAUUCGUGAAAGUCAUCCCCAAUCCUUUAUGGAACGAGCCAGUGAGCAGACAGACACUAGAGAAGAAAACCGCCAUCAUUGUGGAAAGACUUGAGCUCUGGAGGCAGACCUGUCAUUACGGUACUUCAGGCCCUUGGUGUUUUCCCGUAGGUUUCUCCACGUGCCUCCCAGCUGUCGUGGCAGCGCCCGGUCUUGCCUGCUGCAGUGCGUCCUUCGCCCAGCUGUCAGGGUUGUCUUUUUCAAAUGCAGGUUGAUUUGGGUCACUCCCCUCCUUCAAGUUCUCCAUUAAAUCCCAUUUGCCCUCCAGAUAAAGCUCAAGGCUAGAAGGGCCUUCAUCGCUUGCUUCUUGCCUACCUUGGUAUCCUCAUCUUGUAAAAGCAUCCCCAUUCCUACCCAAACUGGACGCUCCAGCAAUAGUGUCCCGCUCGCUGUUCUGCGAACGUGCCAGCUCCUUCUUCUCUUCUUCUCGCGCGUGCUGGUCUUCUUGCUCAUGAUGCCUUUGCACUGACCGAGUCAUCCCUCUUCAGAACUCUUCCCACGUGCCACUGUCCUCCAGGCAGCCUUCUCCAACUCUGCCCUCUCCGCGUGGGUUAAGUGUGGCAUCUCUGCUGUGUGUUCCCAGAGGGUCCUAGGGUGACUCUGUGCACUUAUCACAGUGAUUUGAACUGCAUGUGUCACAGUAACAAAGGACAUGCAAGCUUGUUUACAACUGGGGUUCUGGUAUCCACAGAUGUUUGAUGCAUGGUAGAGCAGGAGCAGGAAGACAUUGCAGGGAGGGUCGUCGGGCGUCUAGAGGAAAUGAGGAAGAAGUCUGGUACUGUGGUUCACACUUGGCAACAGGGCCUGGGGGCAAAGAGGUUUGAAGCCCAAUGUGAGGACGUGUCAUCUAUGCCUGAGGCAGAGGUGCUAAACUCUGCCCCAAUAUUCAUUCUCUUCCUUUUAGUAAUGAAAACCCCUCCAGGUUUUCAGGUGGUCACAUGGUUAUCCAGCUAAAGAUGACAUUUUCCCAGCCUCCCUUGUGACUAAGUUCAGGCCAAUGGAAUGGAAGUAGAAGGGACGCAUAGAAGCUUCUCUGUCACUACUCUAAAGACAGAGCUGCGUGCUCCGACCCCCUCUCUACCCUUCCUGCAGGCUGAAAUGCAGAGAUAGGUGAGGAAACCUGGAUUCCCGCUUGAUCCUCUGGCGCAGAGCUGCCCACCCAGGCUGGAGAGCUUGCCUAGCUCAUUGUGGUCCAUGAGAAUGAAACAAACUCCUGCUAUGUUUGGUAAAGUCUUAACUAUUUUCCAAGUAUCCCCUCCAGAAAAGUGUUGUGGGAUUUACCAAUGGGAAGGGGAACCCAGGGUGCGGUGGGGGAUUAUAAGAAAUCCUGCUGGAGUGCCUCUCCUGUAGCAGGCCCUGGGCAGUGGGGGGCCAUGCAGGAUCCCAUUAAGGCUUCAUGUUGAGCCCACAGGACACUCAGCAUUUAGACUUCUGCCCACAUGGGCCUUGACUGCCAAGCGAGUAAGGACCAAACAGCACCACUUAUGGAAGAAUUUUGCUUCCCUCUUCCCCAUCCUUCUUUAAGACCAAAAAGCGCUAGAGAAGAAAGGGGAGGGAGGAAAGUGCGAGAGAAGAGCACACUCCCUUCCACGGUGGACAGCAGGUCUCCUGAGUCAGGAGGGAGAUGAUGAGGUUGGGUAUGAGUUUGAAGCUUUAAGCUGGAUCAAUUGUAUUACAUUUCAUUUUUUUGUAUCUGAAAAUGAGCAUAAAGUGCUAAAUAAAAUGUUAUUUAGGGCAGAGGGAGUGAGGUUCAACAGAGCUUUUUUGGGGCAGUCACUGGAAGAAAUAGUAUUUUUCAUGUUUGGACUCUACUCAGUUUAGACCAGUCAAUAAACUGGUUACAAACUGAAAAAAAAAAAAUAGCUAGAAUUAUAGCUCUAGCCCUCCUCCCACCCUGGUUUGGCCGAGGCCCGCUACCUUAGAAAAGGCACAUGUGUGUAUCUGUGUGAAGAGGGGCUGGAGACAGGGGUGAGUACCGGAGAUCCAGACGCGGGAACCCCAGCGGCUCAGAGGCCGAGGGCUGGUCAGCAGCGCCCUGCAGGGCUUCAGAGGGCAGGUGCUUCUCCUCCACACCCACCCGUGUUUCCUCUUUGUGGGACGAGCUCAGUGGGAGUAACUCUCUCGCCUCUCUAGGGCUCUUUACUCUCUCCCUCCCAGGACAGCUGGAAAACUUCACUGAUUGGCGACUUGGGGAUGAAUAAAGGGCACAGUCAGCGGAACUCCUCCCUACUCCUUCUGAGAGAGAAAAUUCUGAGCUCAGCACAAUUCUUGUCCUAAAGAAGUGUUUCAUAAUGAUGCUCAUACAAAUUCUUGUUACAACACAGCUAACAAGAGCCAGCUAACCGCCGACUAGAAGCCAGCCCUGGUGGUCUCGUGGUGAAGAUCUUGCGCUCUCACUGCCACGACCUGGGUUCCUGACCCCAUCGGGGCACCACACCACUUGUCUGUCGAUUGUCGUCCUGUGGCGGCUGCAUGUUGCUGUGGUGUGAAAGCUAUGUCACCGGGAUUUCAAGUGCCAGCAGGGUCACCCAUGGUGGACAGGUGUCAGGGAGCUUCCAGACUAAGACAGGACCUGGCCACUCACUUCCGAAAAGAUGGGUCACGUAAACCCUGAGAACAGCAGCGGCACAGGAAGGUGAGAGGGUGGCCCAAAGGACUGGGCAGGGACACAGUGUCACUGGGAGUUGCAGUCCACUCCACGGCGCUAACGUCAAAGGAGACUAGAAGUCAAAGAAGCAAAGAGUGAGCGAGCGGCGGUGGGGGACCGUUAGAGGCGGGCGCCCGCAAUCAGCAGGAUGACGUCUCACAUGCGGCCAGUGAGGAUGCUCCGGAGAACCUGCGCGUUCCCACGUCCCACAGACUUCUGAGCACCUCCGUGUGCCAGCCUCUGUUCUGGGCCCCCAGGGGCUGUCGGCAAACAAUCAGUCGAGGUCUCUGUCCUCAGGAAGCUUGCAUUCCAGCAGGUUUCUCGUUGAACAGCAAACCCGUGGGUGUGUUUGGGAGGUUGGCACACGCCUCGUGGAUUGUGGUAGCUACAGCUCACUCAUGGCAGUGACGGCGAGGAUAACUGAGAGCCAUUCUGGGCCCACCGUGGGCCAGGCGCCGCCCCUGCCUUCUGCACGGCAGCUUCUUCGGCCCUCAUUGAAACCCUCGGGUUCUCUUUUCUCCUGAACCGGUCACUAUGGCUAAGCAGCGUGGCAUGCUCUGAUGGUGAAUCAGCCCGCUGUCUGGGACAGCCCGCCGUGCCCUCCCCUCCCUGCCACACCUGCACCUCCUUGGGUCUGAAACAAAUGUCAUCGGUCCCCUCAGAGCCAUGUUGAUGGAGCAGAUACUGGGCUGGGGUGAGGGUCGGCUUGCCGGAGGAGGUGACACUGGGCAGACCAGUAAACAUGUCCCAAGUCACACACAGGCCAUUCUAGGACGUCAGCACUCAGAGUCCAUAACGCACAUGUUGUCCGCGGCCACAAAGGGCCAGGAAUGACAGGCACCGCCAAGGCUACUUGGUUGUUUAAGCAAUCAGAGUUUAUUGAUAAAGGGAACAGAACAAGCAGGGAAGCAAACAACAAAUCAGUGCUUACAACAUCCACACCACAGUCAGCCGGGAAGUCCCCAUAGUUUGUACAGUGGGCGGGAAUGCCCAUUGUCCUGGUCUGAGGCAAAGCGUCCUUUCCUCAGUGAGACUCCCAAUUAUUCUAUGCCUAUGACUCCCUUUUAUCCUAAGGUUUCUCUAGGUUCUGACUCAGGGUUUCAGACAUUUAGAUACUCUGAGUUAUUUCUUCUUGUUCCCAUGGAUGGAGUGUUUUUAUCUUUUUUGUUCCCACGGAUGGGAUGUUUCUAAAGUCCCAUCAGGUGCCCGUUGGGGUGGCCAGCCCAGACAAGGAACAUGACGCAGGACAUAUUCUUUGUAACUUGUGCCUUAGAGUCAGGGCCGAAGUGGCCAUCUUUGGCCCUGAGCCAGACACAUUCCUUCACGUAGGGCCCAGGCCCAGUGUCCUUGGAAGGCGGGGAGAUCAAUGAACUCCAUACAGCACGAGUGUUGUGGCAGGAUGGAGCAGAAAUGGGACCACUGUAACCCCAUUUUAUAAAUGAGAGCACCAAGGCACAAAGGGCCACGGGACUUGCUCAGGUUCCCACACCUAAUAAAUGGUGGAGAUGGGAUUUUGGUCUGACUCUCGAGGCCACGCCUUCAUCCCUGCACUAUUCCGAUAAAGUCAUAAAGACAACUUUCCUUAUCAUAGUUCAAGGGUUUGAAGAUGCCUGUCUUUCCCAUUUUAACAUCUCUAUGCUGGGAUGUGUCAUAUGAUAGAUGUGACAAGGAUAGGCAGCAUCAGUUUAAUUGGCAGCAUUCUGUCUUCCUCCAUGGCACAUAAAAUAAUAGUGCAUCUGGCAGAAAAGUCACCUGAGGGGAUGAAGCGCUGUGUUCUUUCAACAAACAUUGAUAAUGUGCCUACUCCAGACGGCUGUACCAGGCGUGCUGUGCAGAGGAGUGGGAGACACAGAGUCAGAGGAUUAAGGAUCGCCCACAAUGCAACGUGAGUGUGCAGUGGAGUCAUGCCUGGGAGGGUGUGGGAGCACAAAGGGGGACACUAGCCAGAGGGCUCUGGGAAGCCUUCCCAGAGGAUGGAAUAUGGGUGGUUGGAGGAAGGAGGUAAGUUUGGGGGGACAAAAGUGGCUCCAUCCUGAGGGAGGAUAAAAUACGGGGCAGAGAGCAGUUCACGAUGAGGCUUGAGGCGCUCAGCACCAUUGAUGUAAUGAUGCAUGACUCAGCUGGACCACGGAGGUUCAUGGAUGUCAUGCUGUGCACACUGCAAGCAACGAGGAUCCACUUAAGGAGUGCGAGCAGGCCAUGGCCAGAGCCCAUGUUGGGAAGUUCCCUGUGGGAGCUUGGUGCCCAGCGGUUUGAACUGGAGGCUGGUUCAGGGGCUGAGACGGUCAUUGAGAAGGCCAGCAUCCAGGGAGCCAGUGUCAGAGCGCAGAGGAGGAGGUCUGAAACUAGAGAUGAAAUUGGAGAGGCUUGGUGACUGGAACUGGGGGCGAGGCGGAGAGAAGAGUCAGGGACGAUUUCCAGGUUCUGCGCUUGGACAACUGGCUAGGUGGUGAUGCCGCUGACUAGGGCAGAGAAUAAAGAAAAAGGAACAGUUUAGGGAGAAAGACGAUGUGUAUGAUGAUGUGCGUGUUGAGUCUGAGGGUUCUCCACCAUAAGGAGGUGGCGUUUGUGACUAAGUGGAGCCUUCAGGUUUGAAGACAGAGUCAGAGGUCAGUAACAUUGGGAGUGAGUUAAAACUGUGGGCUCCUUAAGGGGGGAGACUCUGUUUUUCUGUCUUCCCCCUAUUUUUAGUGCCUAGCUUGGGAACUGGCACAUAAUCAAUGCUCGAUAAACAGUUGCCCUUAUGUAAGUAUAAUGAUCAUCAUAAUCUAUGGUGUCUAUGAGAACGUGUGUGCGGAAGUGUGUCUGCAUGUGUGUGUGUGUGGUUACAGUGCUUUUUUUUUUUUUUUUUUUUAAAGAUUUUAUUUUUUCCUUUUUCUCCCCAAAGCCCCCCGGUACAUAGUUGUGUAUUCUUCAUUGUGGGUUCCUCUAGUUGUGGCAUGUGGGACGCUGCCUCAGCGUGGUCUGACGAGCAGUGCCAUGUCCGCGCCCAGGAUUCGAACCGACGAAACACUGGGCCUCCUGCAGCGGAGCGCGCGAACUUAACCACUCGGCCACGGGGCCAGCCCCUACAGUGCUUUUUAUAUGCUAGGCACUCUUCUAAGAUCCCUGCAGGCUUUAACUCUCGUUUCCUUCCUGAAGUAACACAUGAGGUAUGUACCACAGUUACCCGCACCUUAUAGACGGGGCCACUGAGGCACAGAGAGCCUGACUAACUUGCCUGCUUCCCAGAGCGGGAAGUGGUUGAGCUAGGAUUUAAAGCAGGGUGACCUGGCUUCUCUGUGCCUUUGGUCUAGUUUUUUGUUUUAAAUAAAAUUUUCCUUCUUUUAGCAAUUGGUAAAGAAAAAAUUUCAGCACACAAAAGGUUAAGCUCCAGCGGUUUGGAAGUUUUAUUCUUUCGUCUCACUUGGCAAAUGCACAUUCAUAUGACAAGAUUCAGCCUGAGCAUCACCGUCUUUAUGAACCUUUCCUUGGCCCCAGGUCUUUUCUUCCAAAGUUAAGCUCUCCUUCCUCUGGGCUCCCCUAUACCCUUAGGAUGCUGCCAUUAAAGUAUUUACCACUUUGUACUGAAUCUUUUUUUUUCUCAACUUGAAUCCUUCCUGAAGAUGGAGACUAGCGUUUGCUAAUUGAAUGAAUGAAGAAAAAAGGUUUUCCUCAUUUUACUGACAUUUGACAAAUAAGGUGUUAGCAUAGACAGCACACUUCCUGCUCUCUCCGAGCUUCCAGUGCAGCUGCAGGGACCACCACAGAAGGGCCACCUUCCCCCACACGCAGAACCUUGGAGUACGGUGUGUUGCCACAGGUCAAUCAGCCACAGCCGCUCCUCAUAGCAAGAGCCGAGCUUAGGGCCUCAUUGCCUCUGCCUCAUCCCGUGUCCAGGGAGGAAGUGAGGGGUGCUCCCACGAUGCCUGUAGGGGGACAUCCACGCGCUCCCCCAAAGCUGGAGCCCAGACAACAUAGACACCAGGUGCUGACACUGGAAAUCCGGGAAUUCCUUUAAUAUUCAAGAUCUCGGUUUCUUCUCUUUGAUGUAACGGGAUCUAGGAAUGCUCAGAACACCCCCUGAAACCCCUGUUUCCUAAAGACCUGUUUAUAUUAGUCCUUGCUCUGUGUUUAUUUGGGAGUAAAAUCCACGUUUGGAAUCCUCGCAGCAUAUGGUGAGUGUUUGCUGUACGGGGUGGGGUACCUGUUUCUGCAUCAUGUGACGAAAGUGCAGCAGCUGUAAUAUCUCAUUACAGGGCUUCACUUUAUUUAAUUAAAAAAAUAGCACUGCUCUACUUAACAAUAUUAUCCUCGUCCCCCACCCACCCGCAAAACCUGAUCUGCAGUUUCGAUGCCUCUGCCGUAAUCGCUUCGGACGGUCUGCACGUGACGUGGGUGAGCUCGAGGAUCGGCUUUCCAUCUCGUUGCUUCAGACGGUGCUUUCACUGUGAGCCAUUAGUCACCAGAUGCUGACAAGUGUUUGUACGGAUGCCAUCUCCCCCUUUGUUUAUAUGCAAGUGCAGCAACCGAAAUGAUUUAUUUAUGCCUUAAUUAAAAUUUGUGGAUAGACCAGUGAGUUUUAGCAGUGACUUUUCUAAUUUGUGGGUUCCAGAAAGAAAAAAAUCAAUAACCUGAUACCAUUUAUGUUUUUAUAGUUACCCAGGCAUUUAUAAUGCAGACCUGCCACUCACCUGCAGCCUCCCUUGGAGGAGAGUGGUCCUCGCCACAUAAAUCUCCCCCAGAGGCCGAGAGGGUCCAUAUUUCAGAGUCACUUCCCUUCUGUGUCAGCUGCGAGUGAGAUGUUACAUGCUUUCCAUUCUCAUGGUUCUCAUGGCAAGGCACAGGCUAAAAUUCACAUUGAAAGUAAAUUGAUGGACUGUAAGUUUUAUAAUACCUGACCCAAUCUGUAAUGACUGCUUAGAAUUUUAAUAAUUUAAGCCCAAUGAAUGUGAUUCCUGCAUAUCGCUCUCCACAUUGAGAAUGUACCCCAUAGGGUCUUUGGAAAGAACUUACCCCAAAUGCCGAGCUUUUAUGGGAACUUAAUAUAUUCGACAUUGCAGGUGCAUAAAUCUCCAUGAAAUUGCACCAAGUUAACGUAUUUACUGGUGCAUGCAAUUUAGUAACUACUUUGUAAAAGUCUAAAUAAAGAUAGAUAAGACAGGUAGAUAUGGAGAAAUAAUGAGUAAAUGUUCCAAUGUAUAUUAACAAGAUGAGUUAAUUGCCUUCGCAAGGCUAUCAGCCUCACUGGAAAAGAAUUAAUUAAUUUUCAAGGUGUUUGGGAUGGUUUUAAUUGCUGUUUCUCAAAGUCUGGGGGAAAUGAGCUGUUUUUGCAUUUUCUGCCAAACUCAAGUUAUUCUCUCCCCAAUAGUCAGAGCUGGGGGGUGCGAGGGGAGUGAUGACAAGCUGGGUGGAAAGAGAGAUGCUCAGUUUUGCUCGCCUCUCCCCCCGCCCCCCGGAGAUAAAGGCACAAGUAGCGAGGAAAAGCUCAUUUUAUUCAGAAAAUCCUCUUAAGAAGGACCCCGCUUGAGUUCCUGCAGCCUCCUCUUCUUCAGAAUACGAAUCUUCCGAAUCUUCCGCAGUCCAUGCUCACACUCAUGCGCACGUGUUUGACUUUUCCCCUUCUCUCCUGCCUCCCCCUUCCCUUAG